UUUUAUUAUAAAAGCACAAAUAACACCAAUAAGACGGUCAAAAGCUUAAUAACAUGUAUCUGUACUCAUGUCAAUAAGUCUUUAACUUUUCUGACUUUUCAAACUCUGUACCAUAUACACAACUGUCAUAAAGUAAAUUGCAUGGUAUGUAUGCCCAUACUUCCUUUUAAACUACUAAAUCAAAUGUAAAUUGACUAAAUUCUUUGUCAUCUCAAAUGUGAGGUUUACAUGUUCAUGAUGUUUAACCUGUAUGUAUUUUUAUAUGUUUCUUGAAAUAACCAGGAUCACUAAACCCUUUACCAUGUUUACCACAUAUCACAUUCAUGAGGUUUAUAAUCUGUAUGUGUUCUCAUGUGAAUCUGUAAAUUACCAAGCCGACUAAACCCUUUACCACAUACAUCACAAUCAAAAGGUUUUACUUGUAUGUGUUCUCAUGUGUCUCUUUAAAUUUCCAAGCUGACUAAACCGUUUACAACAUACAUCACAGUCAUGAGGUUUAUCACCUGUAUGUGUUCUCAUGUGUGCCUGUAAAUGACCAAGUCGUCUGAAAUCUUUACCACACACAUCACAGUCAAAAGGUUUUUCACUUGUAUGUGUUCUCAUGUGAAUUUGUAAAUAACGAGGCUGACUAAACCGUUUACCACAUACAUCACAGCUAUGAGGUUUUUCACCUGUAUCCUGUGUAUGUGUUAUCAUGUGUCUCUUUAAAGUUCCAAGCAGACUAAACCGUUUACCACAUACAUCACAGUCAUGAGGUUUAUCACCUGUAUGUGUUCUCAUGUGUGCCUGUAAAUCAUUAAGCCGACUAAACCCUUUACCACAUAUAUCACAUUCAUAUGGUUUAUCACCUGUAUGUAUUCUCAUGUGUCUUUGUAAAGUUCCAAGCAGAGUAAAUCGUUUCCAACACACAUCACAGUUAUGAGGUUUAUAACCUGUGUGUAUUCUCGAGUGUAUCCGUAAAGUGCCUUGCUCACUAAACCCUUUACCACAUACAUCACAUGCAUAAGGUUUGUCACCUGUAUGUAUUGUCAUGUGUCUCCGUAAAUUACCACGCUGACUAAAUCGUUUACCACAUAUAUCACAGUUAUGAGGUUGUUUACCAUUAUGUGUCCUCUUGUGUCUCUUUAAGUAACUAAGCUGACUGAACUCUUUACCACAUACAUCACAGUCCAUGGGUUUAUCACUUGUAUGUGUUCUCACGUGUCUCUUUAAGUGACUACCUUGAGAAAAUUCUAUAGCACACACAUCACAUUUAUGAAGUGUUUUACCAGCCUGUGUGUUUAUGUGUCUCUGUGGAGUAGGGUUGAGUGUGUCUAAAUCCUCGACUCCCUUUAACAUCUUAUUGAUGUUUAUCUCCAGUAUGUGCGUUCUUAUACAACUC
This 1381-nucleotide long non-coding RNA is filed under the name Mytilus galloprovincialis (Mediterranean mussel). Lineage: Eukaryota; Metazoa; Mollusca; Bivalvia; Mytilida; Mytilidae. The record is from RNAcentral.